UUUUUUUGUCGAAAAUUCUGGUUUUCAUUAAAUGUUAAACCGGUACAGAAUUGAUUGCGAGUAAAGCAGCUUUAGCAGCUGCAUCUGCCUUACGAUUGUUUUCUCUCUUGACAAAAUGAAAGCUAAUAUCAGCGAAACUGAGAGAGAUAAAAAGGAUGUCAUGUAGAAUCCCUUGAAGCUCCUUUGGAUGAAGCUCCCCCACGAUUGCUUCGACAAGCUGCUGCGAGUCAGAAGCUACAACAAGUUUUUUGAAUCCUCGAUUUGACGCCUGUUGGAUGGCAGAGAAGAGAGCGAUCGCCUUCGCCAUUAAAGGGGAAGAUACCUCUCUCGCCACUGCGUGAUCCUGGAUCUCAGAGUGAUUUGAGUUAUCUACAAAAAUCCAUCCCAAUCCCGCAUCAUGUGAAUCCUCUCGCCACGCUGCAUCUGUGAAACACAAGAUUGCAUCCGAUUCAAAUUCCGGCACAAUUGGUCUUGAAAGCAGAGUCUGGUGUCCCUGAGGUCCAGAUUGUCCAAAUAAUCCAGGGGAAAAGAGGGUUUGAGCCAAUUUCCACCAGUGGUAAGCAAAUCAGAUGUUUAGCCGCUUCAAAACCCAUCUGAAGAUUGGUAAAAGUGAAGGUCGAAAGGGUAUUUUUGAAUGGGGCUUGCUCCCAGAUCUGUGCAGCAAAUAGACAAAGGAAAAACAGAUGAAGACCUGAUUCCUCUGCACUACAAUGUGGGCAAGCAGUUGUAGGGUUGAUGCCUCGAGCUUUCAAGUUGGCACCUAGGGGUAAAGCAUUCUUCAAUACUUUCAAUAAGAGAAACUUAAUUUUCGGGGAGCAUUUCUUUUUCCAUAUCUCUGAGUUCCAAUUGAGGUCACAGGUUGAGGUGGAACUUGUGUAUGAAGAUUCCGCAAAGUCUUAGCUGCGUAGUAGCCUGUUUUGGUGCUAUAAUCACCAGAUUUCGUGGGAAGCCAGAUAAAUUUAUCCCUAGCAACAAACCUACUUGGUCUGAACUGAAAGAUCUCUGAUUGGUAUUGAGGGAGGUAAGUUGCAAUCUUUUCUCUAUUCCAAGACUUGGAAAUAGGACAUAUUAAGUCCUUAACAGUCAUGAGUUGUGUCUCUUGAGUAGGAGGACCCAUUGGGGUUACGGAUGAUGAGAGAGAGAUCCAUGGUGCAUUCCAAACCAGGGUAUCAGCUCCAGAACCAAUCGAUCUUCCUAGUUGGGACUAGCAUCAAGAGCAUAGAUUUAUAAAACUAGACAUGAAUCCGAAACGGAAGUGUUUAAACAAAACAUAUUGAUCACUUCGUGGCUUUUCAAACAAAUUAAAAUUGUUACAGAAUCUUAGAUUGAUUAAUAAAAAAAGUGAGAGGAUUACCAAUACUGAAGUAGAGUCAUAAUUGUAAAGAAAUCGAUGAAGCUGUAUGUGUGAAAAAAUUAGUUCGUUCAUGCUCAAAGGUCUAAAUAAAAAAGACACAUACCUUGACACUAAUUUCCAACGAUGUAUUUUACUUGUGAGAAUAAUUUUGUUAUUUCAGCAAUACUAAAGACACAAAAGAAG
Arabidopsis thaliana (thale cress) is the source of this 1537-nucleotide long non-coding RNA. RefSeq annotates it as other RNA. The transcript has 2 exons. The record is from RefSeq. Lineage: Eukaryota; Viridiplantae; Streptophyta; Magnoliopsida; Brassicales; Brassicaceae.